UCCUUAGAUGUCCUGGGCCGCACGCGCGCUACACUGAGUGUCUGGGAUACGAGUCUGCCUGGUCCGGCAAGGUCUAGGUAAUCGCUAAAAGACACAUCAUGCUUGGGAUAGAUUAUUGCAAAUAUUAAUCUUGAACGAGGAAUUCCUAGUAAGCGCAAGUCAACAGCUUGCGUUGAUUACGUCCCUGCCCUUUGUACACACCGCCCGUCGCUACUACUGAUUGGAUGUUUAAGCGAGGUUCUCGAACUGCUAGCGACUUAGCUUCAGUGAGGUCGCAGUGUGGGAAGUGAACCUAGCUUUGGUGUCUAGAGGAAGUAAAAGUCGUAACA
RNAcentral lists this ribosomal RNA (329 nucleotides) under uncultured eukaryote. RNAcentral's name for it is "partial 18S ribosomal RNA". It matches the Rfam family "Eukaryotic small subunit ribosomal RNA", at positions 1470 to 1796 of the family's 1831-position model. The record is from RNAcentral.